UUUUAGCCCGGAUGGAAACGGAAAUCCCGAAGUUAUAAUUGUGCGUUUUUUUUUGGAUACAAGAGCGACCAGCGGAAGCUCCUUUUAUGCCUUUAAAAAACUACAAGUAUAAGGAGGAGUUGCAGUGUACAGCCGGAUUGGCU
RNAcentral lists this small RNA (143 nucleotides) under Flavobacterium circumlabens. Its description in RNAcentral is "Flavo-1 RNA". Lineage: Bacteria; Pseudomonadati; Bacteroidota; Flavobacteriia; Flavobacteriales; Flavobacteriaceae. The record is from RNAcentral.